CCUAUUUGUAGGGAAGAUUACUAUCACCCAAUAUGAAGAGUAAAAUAGUUAUCUUCGUAUUAAAGGGAAAAUAAUUGUCUCCAUUAUAUGAGGGACGAUAGUUUGGACUAGGAAAUGUGAUCAUCCCCUUGGACAAACCAAAAUUAUGUCAUGCAUGCAUAUGGAUCCCGAUUUGUUCAGGGCUGCAGCAGAUGGCAAUAUUAGUCCCUUCUAUGGCGAUAUUAGUCCCUUCUAUGGCGAUGUCCAACCCCUUGAUCUUCUACUUACUCCAAACAAAAACACAGUUAUUUACAUCACUGCACGAGCAAAUGGAGCAAAAUCAGUCGAAUUCAUGCAUAAAAUCCUACAAAAAUGUCGGUCACUCUUAGAUCAGGCUAAUAUAAGAGAUGAAACUCCACUGCACUUUGCAGCAAGAUACGGGCAUGACGACAUAGCGGAAGCACUAAUUGAACACGCAGAAGCCCAGCAUGAUGACGUUGAACGCGGAGCAGCUGCAGUAAGGGAGAUGAUGAGAAAGAUGAAUACAGAGAAAGACACUGCCUUACACGAAGCGGCGAGAUAUAAUCAUCUUAACGUGGUUCGAAGAUUACUGGCUAAGGAAGAUGUUAAUUAUUGUUAUUUAGCUAAUGAAGCUGGUGAAAGUCCACUUUACCUAGCCGCUGAGAGAGGCUAUGGUGAUAUUCUGUCUGAAAUUUUGGAAACCUGCACUUCGCCAGAAUACAAUGGCCCUAAUGGUAGAACAGCUUUGCAUGAAGCAGCAAUCAGCAAUGAUGCAGAAAUGACGAGAAGAAUAUUGAGCAAAACCAAUACUGAUCUCACCAAAAAAAUUGAUCAACAAGGAAGGACUCCACUGCACCAUGCUUCACACUUUGGUCACUUGUCAAUCGUGAAGCUGCUACUAGAUGCUGAUAAAUCUGCAGCUUACAUUGGCGAUGAAGAUGGAAGAAAGACCCCUCUUCACAUUGCUGCUAGCCAGGGCGAUGGCCAUGUGAAUGUUAUUAAAAGUAUUGCAUCUCAUUGUCCAGAUUGCUGCGAACUUGUCUAUGACAGAGGCCGGAAUGUUCUGCAUUUUGCUGAGGAAAGCCAUGGUUUUGAAGCAUUGCGUGCUCUUCUUCAAAAUCCAUUCAU
This 1128-nucleotide unclassified non-coding RNA is filed under the name Hevea brasiliensis (rubber tree). Lineage: Eukaryota; Viridiplantae; Streptophyta; Magnoliopsida; Malpighiales; Euphorbiaceae. The record is from RNAcentral.